AUUGAACGCUGGCGGCAGGCCUAACACAUGCAAGUCGAACGGUAACAGGAAACAGCUUGCUGUUUCGCUGACGAGUGGCGGACGGGUGAGUAAUGUCUGGGAAACUGCCUGAUGGAGGGGGAUAACUACUGGAAACGGUAGCUAAUACCGCAUAUCGUCGCAAGACCAAAGAGGGGGACCCUCGGGCCUCUUGCCAUCGGAUGUGCCCAGAUGGGAUUAGCUUGUUGGUGGGGUAACGGCUCACCAAGGCGACGAUCCCUAGCUGGUCUGAGAGGAUGACCAGCCACACUGGAACUGAGACACGGUCCAGACUCCUACGGGAGGCAGCAGUGGGGAAUAUUGCACAAUGGGCGCAAGCCUGAUGCAGCCAAGCCGCGUGUAUGAAGAAGGCCUUCGGGUUGUAAAGUACUUUCAGCGGGGAGGAAGGGAGUAAAGUUAAUACCUUUGCUCAUUGACGUUACCCGCAGAAGAAGCACCGGCUAACUCCGUG
RNAcentral lists this ribosomal RNA (490 nucleotides) under uncultured bacterium. Its description in RNAcentral is "partial 16S ribosomal RNA". It matches the Rfam family "Bacterial small subunit ribosomal RNA", at positions 30 to 507 of the family's 1533-position model. The record is from RNAcentral.